Molecule: RNase P RNA, 354 nt
Filed under: Lachnospiraceae bacterium
Lineage: Bacteria; Bacillati; Bacillota; Clostridia; Lachnospirales; Lachnospiraceae
Description: RNase P RNA component class A
Rfam family: Bacterial RNase P class A
About the family: Ribonuclease P (RNase P) is a ubiquitous endoribonuclease, found in archaea, bacteria and eukarya as well as chloroplasts and mitochondria.
Source: RNAcentral
UAAGUAAGACAAACGAUCGCGGCUGUACUCGUACAGGUGAGGAAAGUCCGGGCUUCACAGGGCAGGAUGCCAGAUAACGUCUGGUGGAGGCGACUCCAAGGACAGUGCAACAGAAAGAUACCGCCUAAGCUCCGGCUUGCUGAAGCUUAGGUAAGGGUGGAAAGGCAGUGUAAGAGACUACCGUCCGUCUGGUAACAGGCGGAGCCAUGUAAACCCCAUCCGAAGCAAGACCAAACAGAAGGCCACAGGCUUGCCCGGCCUGCCUUCAGGUAGGUCGCUUGAUGCGGCUGGCGACAGCCGUACUAGAUAGAUGAUCGUUCGCGACAUAACCCGGCUUAUCGUCUUGCUUACACU